AGGUUCGAUCAUACCAGCAUUAAUACACCGAAUCCCAUCAAACCUCCGCAGUCAAGCGUGCUUCGGAGAGAGUAGUACUAGGAUGGGUCACAUCUUAGAAAGUCCUCGUAUUGCACCUA
RNAcentral lists this ribosomal RNA (119 nucleotides) under Lupinus angustifolius (narrow-leaved blue lupine). Lineage: Eukaryota; Viridiplantae; Streptophyta; Magnoliopsida; Fabales; Fabaceae. The record is from RNAcentral.